Molecule: unclassified non-coding RNA, 327 nt
Organism: Nannospalax galili (Upper Galilee mountains blind mole rat)
Lineage: Eukaryota; Metazoa; Chordata; Mammalia; Rodentia; Spalacidae
Gene: 7SK
Rfam family: 7SK RNA
About the family: 7SK was discovered as an abundant small nuclear RNA in the mid-70s but a possible function has only recently been suggested. Two independent studies have found that 7SK RNA binds the CDK9/cyclin T complex (known as elongation factor P-TEFb).
Source: Ensembl
GGAUAUGAAGGAGAUCUAAGUGUGACAUCUGCCACCACACUGAUUGCCAGAGUUGAUUCGGCUGAUCUGGCAGGCUAGUCAGGUGUCCCGUUCCUUCCUCACUGUCCCUUGUGUGUUCAUCCUGAAGCUGCAUGCUUGAUGGAAGAGCACGACCCUCCCUGAUAGAGGCGAACCAGUGUGCAGUCAGGGUACAAGCACAUGUGUGUCCCUGCUGGAACCUCCUGCCUUGGUCUCAAGACAUGCAUGCAAACUCUUGUGCUAGUAUCAACUCUCACACACAAAGUCUAAUUCUUUAAAGAUAAUCACUGGAGUCUCCAUUCUAUUCUU